This 272-nucleotide long non-coding RNA is filed under the name Nicotiana benthamiana. RNAcentral describes it as "long non-coding RNA (NBEN_LNC002998)". The record is from RNAcentral. Lineage: Eukaryota; Viridiplantae; Streptophyta; Magnoliopsida; Solanales; Solanaceae.
AAAAUGGCAUCAACUUCAAAAUCUCGGAAUCUGCCAUAGUUAUCCCAAUAACCAUUCGAUUACAGCAUUAUUGGGAUUUUUGACAUAAUUUUUUGUAGUUGAUAGAAAAACAGACGAAGAACAGAUUUAGAUUCGUCAAUUUUUGUAUUGAUGUCGACGAACAGCUGUAUUCAACGAUACGACAAUUUUUGUACUGAUUUCGACGAAGAGCUGUAUUCAACAAUUAGAUAAUUUUUGUACUGAUUUCGACGAAGAACGGAUUUAGAUUCGAC